AGUGAACUUCGUUUGUAGAGGAAAUCCUUUUUGAGGUUUUUUGCCGAAAAAAGAUUGGAACGGAUAGCUGGAAUAGCU
This 78-nucleotide small RNA is filed under the name Flavobacterium swingsii. Its description in RNAcentral is "Flavo-1 RNA". It matches the Rfam family "Flavo-1 RNA". Lineage: Bacteria; Pseudomonadati; Bacteroidota; Flavobacteriia; Flavobacteriales; Flavobacteriaceae. The record is from RNAcentral.